GGCAGCAGUCAUAUCACCCAGCAUCUCACAACUGGCAGCCCACCAAAGCUCAGCAGGUGUGAGCCUGGUUGGUACCUGGAUGGGAGACCUCCUGGGAAAAACUAAGGUUGCUGCUGGAA
Molecule: ribosomal RNA, 119 nt
Filed under: Lepisosteus oculatus (spotted gar)
Lineage: Eukaryota; Metazoa; Chordata; Actinopteri; Semionotiformes; Lepisosteidae
Source: RNAcentral